RNAcentral lists this ribosomal RNA (464 nucleotides) under uncultured bacterium. RNAcentral describes it as "partial 16S ribosomal RNA". It matches the Rfam family "Bacterial small subunit ribosomal RNA", at positions 338 to 795 of the family's 1533-position model. The record is from RNAcentral.
CCUACGGGAGGCAGCAGUGGGGAAUCUUCCGCAAUGGGCGAAAGCCUGACGGAGCAACGCCGCGUGAUCGAAUGAAGGCCUUCGGGUUGUAAAGAUCUGUUGACAGGGACGAAUAAGCAAUGCGAAUAGUGUUUUGUAUGACGGUACCUGUUUAGAAAGCUCCGGCUAACUACGUGCCAGCAGCCGCGGUAAUACGUAGGGAGCAAGCGUUGUCCGGAAUUACUGGGCGUAAAGGGCGCGUAGGUGGGCGCUUAAGUCAGGUGUGAAAACUCCGGGCUCAACCUGGAGACUGCACUUGAAACUGGGUGUCUUGAGUGCAGGAGAGGAAAGUGGAAUUCCUAGUGUAGCGGUGAAAUGCAUAGAUAUCACACAGAACACCGAUUGCGAAGGCAUCUCACGAAUCCGCGAUUGACGCUGAUGCACGAAAGCGUGGGUAUCAAACAGGAUUAGAUACCCGAGUAGUC